UACGAAGGGGGCUAGCGUUGCUCGGAACUACUGGGCGUAAAGCGCACGUAGGCGGCUCUUUAAGUCGGAGGUGAAAUCCUGGAGCUCAACUCCAGAACUGCCUUCGAUACUGAAGAGCUCGAGUCCGGGAGAGGUGAGUGGAACUGCGAGUGUAGAGGUGAAAUUCGUAGAUAUUCGCAAGAACACCAGUGGCGAAGGCGGCUCACUGGCCCGGUACUGACGCUGAGGUGCGAAAGCGUGGGGAGCAAACAGG
RNAcentral lists this ribosomal RNA (253 nucleotides) under uncultured bacterium. Its description in RNAcentral is "partial 16S ribosomal RNA". It matches the Rfam family "Bacterial small subunit ribosomal RNA", at positions 524 to 776 of the family's 1533-position model. The record is from RNAcentral.